Molecule: ribosomal RNA, 492 nt
Filed under: uncultured bacterium
Lineage: Bacteria
Description: partial 16S ribosomal RNA
Rfam family: Bacterial small subunit ribosomal RNA
Source: RNAcentral
AGUGAACGCUGGCGGUAGGCCUAACACAUGCAAGUCGAACGGCAGCACAGUAAGAGCUUGCUCUUACGGGUGGCGAGUGGCGGACGGGUGAGGAAUACAUCGGAAUCUACUUUUUCGUGGGGGAUAACGUAGGGAAACUUACGCUAAUACCGCAUACGACCUACGGGUGAAAGCAGGGGAUCUUCGGACCUUGCGCGAUUGAAUGAGCCGAUGUCGGAUUAGCUAGUUGGCGGGGUAAAGGCCCACCAAGGCGACGAUCCGUAGCUGGUCUGAGAGGAUGAUCAGCCACACUGGAACUGAGACACGGUCCAGACUCCUACGGGAGGCAGCAGUGGGGAAUAUUAGACAAUGGGCGCAAGCCUGAUCCAGCCAUACCGCGUGGGUGAAGAAGGCGUUCGGGUUGUAAAGCCCUUUUGUUGGGAAAGAAAAGCAGCAGGUUAAUACCCCGCUGUUCUGACGGUACCCAAAGAAUAAGCACCGGCUAACUUCGUG